This 714-nucleotide long non-coding RNA is filed under the name Marmota monax (woodchuck). The record is from RNAcentral. Lineage: Eukaryota; Metazoa; Chordata; Mammalia; Rodentia; Sciuridae.
CCAGCGGCCCAGACCCACAGGGUUCUGGAGCAUAUCUCGGCCCAAUUCUGGAGAUAAAUGUUCUCCCUGGGGUCUCUAGGAACCCUGAGUCAUGUGCUGUCUGUCAGGAGCAGGGUGUUAUUGGACCCACUGAGCCAUAAGCUGGGCGUGCAUGGCGGUCACUGUCCCCGGUGGAAAUGGUGAAUGUGUGUUUGGGUGCCGAAGGUGGGAGCAGGCGGCACGUGCAGGUGGCCCCUCCUCCGAGUGCCCUGCCCACCCCCCAUCUCUGCUGUCCUCUCCUCUCAACUGCAGCGGCCUCCUGUGCGGUGCACUGGGGCCAGUCAGAUGAAGAGGGACACUCAGCCCUAAGUGACAGACGGUCCAGCAGAUGUUCUGGCCCCUUCUGGACGCGUGCAAAAGCCACUUGGCAGCCCGCGGGGCUGAGGGCUCCCGACAAGGGGCCCUGAGUGGAGCAGCGCAGCAGGGGACACGUGAACCUCGUCCUGGUCCCCGGAGCUGGUCACUUUGACGGCAAUUGAGCCAGUCCACCCUCCAGGAGCUCCACAAGAUCUCAAACAGCAACUGGACUUGGAUGUCCAACAUCAUCUCCUUUAACCCUCACGUGGCGCAUCUCGCAGGCCAGGCCACAGGCCAGCACCUGCAGGGCCGACCCCUCACUGCCCCUCUGGCUCCCGGCUCAGGGGACUCAAGCGCCCCUGGGGAGGGGAGCUCCCA